GCGUCGACGAGCUUGUGGCCGUCCUUCCAGACGACGGCGGUGACGGAGGAGGUGAAGACGACCCUCUCCAUGGUGUCCGUCUGCGCGCACGCCUCCAGCACGUUCUGCGCCGCCCGGACCUCCACCUCAACCAUAACCUCCUCUAGCCGGUCAAGCAUCCGUUGGGGGGCAAUUAAUGUGGCACGCAGAGUGGAAAGGGCUGGAGCGGCUAGCAAAGCUUCUGCCACAACUUGGGAGCAGAGUUUAAUGCAGUGGGCAGCAAGCAAGGAGGAGCAGCUGCCGAGACUGAGAGGUGAGCUGUGCCAUUAAAGGUCACUAACAGCUCACUCACAGAAAGGAGGGGAGAGGAACAGAUGCUCAUCCACUACUAGCUGUACCCGUACUGCUGCUGCUCCAGUAGCACGGCACCAGCAACGGUCAGUAUUUUUCCCCACCUUUUUAUCUCCCAACCCGAUGCACGGUAAUUCUUGCAACGUGGGGGGUGGGAUAUGGUUGGAUCCGUCAGAGGAUUGGGGGAGAGAUUCCGAUGCAAGGAACUUGACGCA
Molecule: long non-coding RNA, 545 nt
Organism: Brachypodium distachyon (stiff brome)
Lineage: Eukaryota; Viridiplantae; Streptophyta; Magnoliopsida; Poales; Poaceae
Exons: 2
Source: RefSeq, a predicted model, not a curated record